Molecule: small nuclear RNA, 69 nt
Filed under: Colobus angolensis palliatus
Lineage: Eukaryota; Metazoa; Chordata; Mammalia; Primates; Cercopithecidae
Description: U5 spliceosomal RNA (ENSCANG00000006126.1)
Rfam family: U5 spliceosomal RNA
About the family: U5 RNA is a component of both types of known spliceosome.
Source: Rfam by way of RNAcentral
UGGUUUCUCUUCAAAUCGUAUAAAUCUUUCACCUUUUACUAAAGAUUUCUGUGGAGAUGGAGUCCUGCU